RNAcentral lists this long non-coding RNA (277 nucleotides) under Fukomys damarensis (Damara mole-rat). RNAcentral's name for it is "lncRNA (ENSFDAG00000030838.1)". Lineage: Eukaryota; Metazoa; Chordata; Mammalia; Rodentia; Bathyergidae. The record is from RNAcentral.
CUGUCCCCAAACACCCACUGCCAAUGAGUCCACAGGGCCGCAUUGGCUGUGACCUCAAAGGAACCGAGGAAGAUGCCACCCUGGCCUGGGUGAAACUGUGUGUGAUGACAGGGUAAAAUGAGGAGAUUGAAGUUCAUGAUCUUCCCAAACUUCUGUCUCUCUUUAAGGGAUUCCGUUGUUGGAGCCACAAGGACCCUUAGGAAAACUACUCAGAGCCAGCUGGUCCCUGCCAUCACUGAAACCCAAAGGGAGGAGCUCCACGGGUGAUGAACUGCUC